Rhineura floridana is the source of this 472-nucleotide long non-coding RNA. RefSeq lists it as uncharacterized. The transcript is spliced from 4 exons. The record is from RefSeq and is a predicted model, not a curated record. NCBI's taxonomy places the organism in Eukaryota, Metazoa, Chordata, Lepidosauria, Squamata, Rhineuridae.
GGGGGGGGAGGCUCAAACAGGAAAGGAUUAUCUGGAAUCCGUUGGGACAAGAGCAGUAAAAUGUGUUUUGUUUCUGAAGUGAAAAUUGGGAACUGGCAAGAGACUAGGAGGAUGGUUUGUUUCUUGCCCAAUAGUGGCGAAGGAGAAUUCACAUACUGGGAAGUGUGGCUGCAAUUGCUGUUGUUCCCAAGCUGCUGUCUGUGAAGAGAUUUUGACGUCUUGAACUGCCAAUGUAUCAGCCCUUAUCAAUUAAAGUAAUAUAUAAGGUAUAUGCCUAAUAAGUCACAAGGCCACUGAAGAAGACUCUUUGUCAAAAUGGAUUUGGCUGCACUCUGUUGUUGUAUCUCAUCUUGCAUAAGCAUUGAUUUAUUACUUCUGCAGAAUUUUAUGACUGUAUUUUGUUUUUUAUAUGGGCAUUGAUUCAAUACCACUUCUAGAAUUCCAGUAGUGAUUUUAUGUUGGUUUAAUAAUA